RNAcentral lists this long non-coding RNA (1263 nucleotides) under Rattus norvegicus (Norway rat). RNAcentral describes it as "long non-coding RNA NONRATT022042". Lineage: Eukaryota; Metazoa; Chordata; Mammalia; Rodentia; Muridae. The record is from RNAcentral.
GGAGCGUAAGCAUGUUGAGCUACGUGGCGGGGAGCGGAGGCCGUGGGCUGCGGAACCCGGCGUGUCCUCCGGCUCUUCCAGGUGCGAAUCCCGCGGUCUACCUACCCCUUGGGUGCGGAGCGGGGCUCCUUGUUGGCGGCGCCGGUCCCUAGCCAGGUGCAACAAAACCUGUCUCUUUUGAGGGUGCUUGAGCAAAUGUUUUUGAAACUUGUCCUGUCCUGGAAAGUGAUUGGAACAAGCUGCCAGAACUACGGUUACCAAUAACAAGCAUGUAGGUAGCUGCAGUGAACGUCCAACUUCGGGAGCUGUGAUGUUUAAUCCUCGUUGUUUUGGGUUAGACUUCUGUCACUAUGAAAAACUGCCUUACAUAACGACUUCCGGAGAAGGUUCCUCAGACUGUGGUAGUAAAGGUUUAGUCCAUCACAGUGGGGAGCAGAGCUGCUCACAUCACCACAGAGAAAACCCACAGAAUUAUUCACAGCGAUGGAGGAGGCCUAUCUCUCUCGGCAUGCUAUGCUGGUCCACUAUUCAAAAUUAAUCAGUGUGGAGCUGGACAGUAGGAAAAACUUCAGUACAGACAGGAUGACGUAUGCCACGGGACACAAGGUUCAUGCUAAAAUUCAAAAGUCUAGGGAAAGUAAGUUAUUCAGAUAUUUAAUGAUGACAUCAUUAAUGUGAACGACAUGUUUAAAUUUAACUUGGCCAGUGUCUACCAAGCACUACAUAUACCUGGUGUUUUAUUUGAAGAGCUUACAGCAUAGACAGAGUUAGAGAAACAAUUUACAAUGGAAUAAUUCUAAAAUAUCUUCUUGAGAACACCACAGAGGGAAUUAUUAUUUCCUUUUAGAAAGGAAUCAGAGAAAGCCGUGGGAAGGCAACGUUUAAAUGGGAUCACUGUCUUUGUUGUUGCUGUGUUGGAGACAGGGUUUGCUUGUAUAGUCCUGGGUGUCCUGGGACUCACAAUGCAGACUUGCUGACACUGAGUUCUGUGCGCCUCUACCCCCUGAGUGCUGGGAUCAAAGGCGUGCACUGCCACUGCCUACUGGAUCAAAGUCCGCUUAUGGAUUACCUUUUCUCAUGUAUUUCAGAUUUGUUUAAUAGGUUUGUCAAUGUCCUAUCUUGACUAUUCCUGCUGUUUCUGGAUCAUGACAACUCUUGCUACACUUUCCUUUUUGCUUUUAAUAUUGUUGUUAACUGCUUCAACUUCUUUAAUUCUCAAAUUCAAAUUAUAAUAAAGAACUAUUUCUUUAGUAUUGUGGUAAA